Molecule: ribosomal RNA, 1168 nt
Filed under: uncultured marine bacterium
Lineage: Bacteria
Description: bacterial SSU rRNA
Rfam family: Bacterial small subunit ribosomal RNA
Source: RNAcentral
GAGUUUGAUCAUGGCUCAGGAUGAACGCUAGCGGCAGGCCUAACACAUGCAAGUCGAACGGUAACAGGAAUUAGCUUGCUAAUUUGCUGACGAGUGGCGCACGGGUGCGUAACGCGUAUACAAUCUACCUUUUGCUGAGGGAUAGCCCAGAGAAAUUUGGAUUAAUACCUCAUGGUAUUAUUGACAGGCAUCUGUUAAUAAUUAAAGGUUACGGCAAAAGAUGAGUAUGCGUCCCAUUAGCUAGUUGGCGAGGUAACGGCUCACCAAGGCAACGAUGGGUAGGGGUCCUGAGAGGGAGAUCCCCCACACUGGUACUGAGACACGGACCAGACUCCUACGGGAGGCAGCAGUGAGGAAUAUUGGACAAUGGGCGAGAGCCUGAUCCAGCCAUGCCGCGUGCAGGAAGACUGCCCUAUGGGUUGUAAACUGCUUUUAUACAGGAAGAAUAAGCCUUACGUGUAAGGUGAUGACGGUACUGUAAGAAUAAGGACCGGCUAACUCCGUGCCAGCAGCCGCGGUAAUACGGAGGGUCCGAGCGUUAUCCGGAAUUAUUGGGUUUAAAGGGUCCGUAGGCGGAUGAUUAAGUCAGAGGUGAAAGUUUGCAGCUCAACUGUAAAAUUGCCUUUGAUACUGGUUAUCUUGAGUUGUAUUGAAGUAGGCGGAAUAUGUAGUGUAGCGGUGAAAUGCAUAGAUAUUACAUAGAACACCAAUUGCGAAAGCAGCUUACUAAGUACUAACUGACGCUGAUGGACGAAAGCGUGGGUAGCGAACAGGAUUAGAUACCCUGGUAGUCCACGCCGUAAACGAUGGAUACUAGCUGUUCGGGGCCUUGAGCUCUGAGCGGCUAAGCGAAAGUGAUAGUAUCCCACCCUGGGGAGUACGUUCGCAGAUGAAACUCAAAGGAAUUGACGGGGCCGCACAGCGUGAGCAUGUGGUUUAUCGAUGAUACGCGAGACUACAGGCUAAUGUAGUCUGACAGCUUAGAAGAUAGAGUUUCUCGACGAUUACAGUGCUGCAUGAUGUCGUCAGCUCUGCCGUGGAGGUGUCAGUAGUCUAUAACCGAGCGCCAACCCAUGUCGUUAGUGCCAGCAUGUCCUAGGAUGUACUUACGACUUGCGUGGUCAACCAAGAAAGAGUUGGGGAUAAUACUCUCAUAUACUAUAUUACG